AGGCCUAUAUGCAAAUAGACCAUUGCCAUAUAUGGAUCUGUGCCAUUCACUUUUUUUUCGCAUCUACUUUGAAGUAGAUGCGCUUGUUUUGAGAUCAAAGCGAGAGCUGCAUUUAGCCACCUGUGCACGUCUGAAGACUCGUGUCCUCUGCAGCAGGGCCUCGGGGCCUCAGGGCUUCCUGGAGAGAGGCGCUCGAGACCCCAACAGAUCCACAAACCGACCUCACCACACAUGAAACAGUGCCCAGAGAGUGAUGAGAGAGGUGGCACCCUGGUUCAAUCCCUGGGAGACAAAGAAAGUGACAGAUGUGUUUCUGCCUGAGCAGCAGAGGACAAGGUUCAUAUCAACGGUGAAACUAGUUUUCAGGGUCUAACUCUUGUUCUUUUCUGCGAUCUGGUUCGUUGUCCCCUGGGCGCCUGUGGCUGACAGUCUGUUCCAGACAUGUUUUUGCUUCGCUCUGCACCUGGACAGUGACAUACCGCAGGCCAGAGGGGAGGGGGAGGGGGAGCAGAGCUGCAACCCUGUGAUCCAAAUCUGUGAGCGCCUGCGGCUCACAUUCUGCAUUUGGUGUGACAGUGUGUCUUUCAGGGGCAUAGUAAACACUAAACACUUCUUCUUCAGUUGUCUAAACCCAAAUGUAUGUUUCAUGCUAUUCAGCAGAAUUAUGUUAAACCCCAACUCCCUUGUGACAAAUCACAAAUGCCAUUUAUUUACCAACAUUUUAUUUAUGAUGAUUCCUAAACAUUACUGUCUCAGGUUGAUGGUAAUCAUUGACCUGAAUGACCUCAGAUCACAUUCUACUGUAGUAUUGAUCUGAUGAUUUAAAAAAUAAAAUAAGAUGAGGUCAUUGCUGAUGGUGUAUCACUGCAUUGUAUGGGGCACAAACCAAAUUAAUACAAGGUGGAGGGGGGAGGGUGUUCACCAUUCUGGGUUUAAUCAAUCACCCCCGCAGGAAUCAGG
Long non-coding RNA from Oncorhynchus keta (chum salmon), 960 nucleotides. RefSeq lists it as uncharacterized. Lineage: Eukaryota; Metazoa; Chordata; Actinopteri; Salmoniformes; Salmonidae. The transcript is spliced from 3 exons. The record is from RefSeq and is a predicted model, not a curated record.